Molecule: long non-coding RNA, 2107 nt
Organism: Fukomys damarensis (Damara mole-rat)
Lineage: Eukaryota; Metazoa; Chordata; Mammalia; Rodentia; Bathyergidae
Source: Ensembl
CGUGAACCACUGGUGGUUCAAGCCACCCAGCAGCGAGUGUGCGAAUUACAGCCCUGUUGUAAGUGUGUUAACCCUUGCAAGUCUGUGAGGAGAAUGCCACAUUACUCUUACAGGUGCGGGAACAGACAGAGAAGGAACGCAAGUUACUCUUUUUCCCCUCAGGGAUUGACCCCAAGACCCCGUGCACACUAGGCAAGUGUUCUACCACGACCCACACCGGCCACCCUGCAAGUUACCCGUUUUUCACACAGCUGACCGGAAGUGGUGCCAGGCACGUUUGACCUUGAGCUCCUGACAGUCUCCCUUCAGGAUAUCCGGCUAAUGGGGAGCUUCGGGGGAACACUUCCAGACAGAAAGACUGCUCGUGACUUCCGCUGCUUUCUCCUAGGAUACUGCAGUGCUUUUCUAUGGAGCCUGUGUCAUGAAGCCCCAGAGACCCAAAAAGGACCGGAUGCCUGUUUUAAACAGAGUGAGUCACGCUCAAUGAAUAGGAACGUUCCACAGAAGAUCAUUGUUCCCCAAGCCGGUACUGAUAGCCCAGCUCCCACACCCUCCACCAUGACUGACGCACCGCUUUUAGGUUGCAAGCGCGGCCGACGGCCCCUGGCCCGGAAGAUUCCUGCGAAGGCAGACAACGCAACGCCUCAGAUAACACAACUGGGCGCCGACAGCGCAGUCGGCGCUGCCCCAUGUAAACCUCAAGGCAGAGCCGCGCAGGGCCACGGCGACCGGAUCCGGCCCGGCUGGGGCAGAGCUGAAGACCCCUUCCCUAGACGCGCCGCUCAGUAGUUUAUGAAUCUCACUUAGAAUGCCCCGUUUUAAAAUUCUGUUCUGAUGUACUGAAAACUUUCUUCUUUGUUAGACAGUCAAAUGUGCCUAUAUAUUAGGUACCGUGCUAGAAACUGAGCUAGAAAGACAAUAAAUAAUCAUCGUCACCAAGGGCUUACACCUUCCUGAUAUGUUUGGAGAUAAACGCCCCCAGGUGACACGGAACAGUGAAGUCAGUGCCCCGAUGAUGGACGUCUCCUGGUCUUGUCCACAGCGUGCAGCCCACUGACUGUCCCCCACGAGUCCUUCAGCCGGCUGUGCCUCCUGCGUGCUUGCUCAGGAUUUGCGGGAAUUGACCUCCAAGCACAGCUGCAGACAGCGCCCUGACCGGCCCGCAUCAGCCAGCCUUUCCAUCUCACAAUUGGCUGUUGGGUUGGAGAGGGGCCUGUGUCUCUGGUUCAAGGCCAGAGCAGAAAGGAGAUCUCAACCCAGGUAGAAGCCGCUAGAAAAAAGCCUCUCCCAGAACAGGAGACGAAGUGCAGACUGAGGAGCAAAGUGCGGAGGCGAAAAGGAGUAACGUUUUUCAUGAGGUCACUUGAAAUGACUUUUUCAGUUACAUCAACCCCACAUUUUUCUUUAUUGUUUGAGUUUUUUAAUUUGUCACUGGAAUCCAAUUUUGUCACAUAUUCUAACUUAUGAUGAAGAAAGAAAAGGAAACAGGAUAAAAAAAGAAAUGAUGGGGGCCGGGGGUUUACCUCAGUGGUUCGCUGCCUGCCUUGCAAGCGCAAGGCUCUGAGUUUGAUCCCUGGUACAAAAACAAAAACACCAAAAAGAAAUGAUGGGGGCUGGGGAUUUAGCUCAGUGGUUCCACUGCCUGUCUUGCAAGAGCAAAGACCUGGGUUCAAUCCCCAGUACCAAAAAAAGAGAGAAAUGAUGGGUGAUACGCCAUCGUGUGCAAGCAGGCCAGAGGACCACACAUGAGUUGAUGGUGCAUAAGCAGCUACAGAGUCAGGGAAACCGGUGUGUGGAAAAGACAGCGCUCCCUGAGAGCUCUCAGCAUUUGAGCCCCUAUCUGUGUUGGGGGAUCUCCAGAAUCCUGAUGGAAAGGUCAGGCUCCCAUGACAAAAGCCCACCCCAGGCCCUUGGAGAUUAGGAUGCACCAAGUGAUUGACAGCCAGUCACGUGCUCCCCUGGGCCUUGGAUCCAAAGAAGCAGGAAAAGAGGAUUCAUCCCAGGCAGCGGCAGCUGUGUCUGGUUUCCAGCAGAAGCAUCGAGUGGUGUGGUGACACAAGUGUCCCCCUGGUAGGCAGGACAGUCUGUUCUCCACUGGUUCCUGCUG